This 468-nucleotide ribosomal RNA is filed under the name uncultured bacterium. RNAcentral's name for it is "bacterial SSU rRNA". It matches the Rfam family "Bacterial small subunit ribosomal RNA", at positions 33 to 507 of the family's 1533-position model. The record is from RNAcentral.
GAGACGCUGGCGGCGUGCUUAACACAUGCAAGUCGAACGGUGAUCUUGAGAGCUUGCUCUUGGGUGAUCAGUGGCGAACGGGUGAGUAACACGUGAGUAACCUGCCCCUGACUCUGGAAUAACUUCGGGAAACCGAAGCUAAUACCGGAUAUGACACAGAGCCGCAUGGUUUCUGUGUGGAAAGUUUUUCGGUUGGGGAUGGACUCGCGGCCUAUCAGCUUGUUGGUGAGGUAAUGGCUCACCAAGGCGACGACGGGUAGCCGGCCUGAGAGGGCGACCGGCCACACUGGGACUGAGACACGGCCCAGACUCCUACGGGAGGCAGCAGUGGGGAAUAUUGCACAAUGGGCGAAAGCCUGAUGCAGCGACGCCGCGUGAGGGAUGAAGGCCUUCGGGUUGUAAACCUCUUUCAGCAGGGAAGAAGCGAAAGUGACGGUACCUGCAGAAGAAGCACCGGCUAACUACGUG